Molecule: ribosomal RNA, 473 nt
Filed under: uncultured bacterium
Lineage: Bacteria
Description: bacterial SSU rRNA
Rfam family: Bacterial small subunit ribosomal RNA
Source: RNAcentral
ACUCCUACGGGAGGCAGCAGUGGGGAAUAUUGCACAAUGGGCGCAAGCCUGAUGCAGCCAUGCCGCGUGUGUGAAGAAGGCCUUCGGGUUGUAAAGCACUUUCAGUUGUGAGGAAGGUGGUGUCGUUAAUAGCGGCAUCAUUUGACGUUAGCAACAGAAGAAGCACCGGCUAACUCCGUGCCAGCAGCCGCGGUAAUACGGAGGGUGCGAGCGUUAUCCGGAUUUAUUGGGUUUAAAGGGUCCGUAGGCGGAUUAAUAAGUCAGUGGUGAAAUCCCAUCGCUUAACGAUGGAACUGCCAUUGAUACUGUUAGUCUUGAAUGAGGGUGCAGUGGUUGGAAUGUGUAGUGUAGCGGUGAAAUGCAUAGAUAUUACACAGAACACCGAUUGCGAAGGCAGAUCACUAACCCUAAAUUGACGCUGAGGGACGAAAGCGUGGGGAGCGAACAGGAUUAGAUACCCUGUAGGUGACAAU